ACAAUAUUUGAAUAUUCGGUCUACCGAGCAAUCACAUCCGUUCGAUGGAAGAUCUUCCCUUUGUCGU
This 67-nucleotide microRNA precursor is filed under the name Bombyx mori (domestic silkworm). Its description in RNAcentral is "mir-2774 microRNA precursor family". It matches the Rfam family "mir-2774 microRNA precursor family". The record is from Rfam by way of RNAcentral. Lineage: Eukaryota; Metazoa; Arthropoda; Insecta; Lepidoptera; Bombycidae.